This 497-nucleotide ribosomal RNA is filed under the name uncultured bacterium. RNAcentral describes it as "partial 16S ribosomal RNA". It matches the Rfam family "Bacterial small subunit ribosomal RNA", at positions 28 to 507 of the family's 1533-position model. The record is from RNAcentral.
GAUGAACGCUGGCGGCGUGCCUAACACAUGCAAGUCGAACGAACGGACGUGAAUCUUGGUUUUCUGGUGUGAGCGACGGACGGGUGAGUCACACGUGAAUAACCUACCUAUAAGGCUGGAAUAACGGCGGGAAACGGGAGUAACGACCGGGUAAUAUUUUUAACUGCAGGGGGCAGGAGUGAAACGCGGGCUGGGGGUGGCUUAGCGGCGGAUCCGCGCUGCAGUGGCUAGUUGGUAAGGUAACGGCUUACCAAGGCAACGAUGGCUUGCCGACCCGAGGGGGUGUUGCGCCACAGUGGGACUGAGCGACGGUCCAGACUCCUACGGGAGGCAGCAGUAGGGACUCUUCCGCGCUGGGCGGAAUCCUGCAGGAGCAGUGCCGGCUGAGUGAUGAAGCUCUUCGGGCCGUAAAACUCUGUUAUUGGUGAAGACCACUUGUGUACGUAACUGUGCAUUGUUUGACGGUACUUAAUAAGAAAGCCACGGCUAACUACGUG